UGGGGAAUAUUGCACAAUGGGCGAAAGCCUGAUGCAGCAACGCCGCGUGAAGGAUGAAGUAUUUCGGUAUGUAAACUUCUAUCAGCAGGGAAGAUAACGACGGUACCUGACUAAGAAGCCCCGGCUAACUACGUGCCAGCAGCCGCGGUAAUACGUAGGGGGCAAGCGUUAUCCGGAUUUACUGGGUGUAAAGGGAGCGUAGGCGGCAGCGCAAGUCAGAAGUGAAAGCCCGGGGCUUAACUCCGGGACUGCUUUUGAAACUGUGCGGCUAGAUUUCAGGAGAGGUAAGCGGAAUUCCUAGUGUAGCGGUGAAAUGCGUAGAGAUCGGGAGGAACACCAGUGGCGAAGGCGGCCUACUGGGCUUUAACUGACGCUGAGGCACGAAAGCAUGGGUAGCAAACAGGAUUAGAUACCC
This 415-nucleotide ribosomal RNA is filed under the name uncultured bacterium. RNAcentral's name for it is "bacterial SSU rRNA". It matches the Rfam family "Bacterial small subunit ribosomal RNA", at positions 355 to 787 of the family's 1533-position model. The record is from RNAcentral.